UACGAAGGGGGCUAGCGUUGCUCGGAAUCACUGGGCGUAAAGGGUGCGUAGGUGGCCAGGUAAGUUCGGUGUGAAAGCUCGGAGCUUAACUCCGAAAUGUCAUUGAAUACUAUCUGGCUGGAGGGUCGGAGGGGAGACUGGAAUUCUCGGUGUAGGCAGUGAAAUGCGUAGAUAUCGAGAGGAACACCAGUGGCGAAGGCGAGUCUCUGGACGACUCCUGACACUGAGGCACGAAAGCCAAGGGGAGCAAACCAGG
Molecule: ribosomal RNA, 256 nt
Filed under: uncultured bacterium
Lineage: Bacteria
Description: partial 16S ribosomal RNA
Rfam family: Bacterial small subunit ribosomal RNA
Source: RNAcentral